Long non-coding RNA from Helianthus annuus (common sunflower), 480 nucleotides. RefSeq lists it as uncharacterized. The record is from RefSeq and is a predicted model, not a curated record. The transcript has 2 exons. NCBI's taxonomy places the organism in Eukaryota, Viridiplantae, Streptophyta, Magnoliopsida, Asterales, Asteraceae.
CUUUUCUUUUGUAUUCGAGUUCUUUGAUUUUCUCUCUCAACCGUGCCGUUAUUACUCUCUCUCUAGAAUCUUGUUGAUGGCUUUGUGUCGGAUGUUGUUUGUCUCCGAUUAUAAUCAGGUCACCAAGCACGCACAAUUACAAAAUAGUCGGUGGCUUUAUGUUGUAUUAACUGAUGGGCGUAAAGAAGAAACAUCAGCAAUGUCCACCCAUGAAGAGAGGUGUAGUCGGUACUCAAGUUUGCGCUUACAGCCAGAUGGAACCAGGCGUUGAAAAAAAGGCUAGCACAACAACAGUAGAGGGUGGUAUUGGUAGUACACAUAAAAGUGGUUGGGGUUCUUACAUUUCCUUAAAAUACUAGGCUUAUUGUUUUGAAACUCUUGGUGUAUCAUAUAGUGGAAAUUUAAAACGAAUGACUAGAUUAACUUUUAUUGUAUAAGAAUUUGUAUGUAGUUGUUAUGUAAUGGGUCAAACUAUCCACA